This is a non-coding RNA of Caenorhabditis elegans, 150 nucleotides long. Lineage: Eukaryota; Metazoa; Nematoda; Chromadorea; Rhabditida; Rhabditidae. The record is from Ensembl.
AUUCAAUUAGUUAAUGUGUUAAAAGAUGGCGACUUUUGCCAACCACCGAAAAUGACGGGGGGGGGGGGGGGGGGCAAGCGGGCUUAAAAGGGGAGGGGGUACACAUUAUUUUUCCUUGUUUUCCUGCCCUUUCACCUUUGUCUUUCAAUU